Molecule: small nuclear RNA, 103 nt
Organism: Choloepus hoffmanni (Hoffmann's two-fingered sloth)
Lineage: Eukaryota; Metazoa; Chordata; Mammalia; Pilosa; Megalonychidae
Source: Ensembl
UUGCUUCCAUAGCACAUAUAAUAAGAUUGGAACAAUACAGAAAAGAUUAGCACGGCCCCUGCUCAAGGGUGACAUACAAUUUCAUGAAGCAUUCCAUAUUAAA